RNAcentral lists this non-coding RNA (26 nucleotides) under Homo sapiens (human). Lineage: Eukaryota; Metazoa; Chordata; Mammalia; Primates; Hominidae. The record is from RNAcentral.
UCCUGGUGCUAGGAACUGAAUGGUUU